AUACGCAACUCUAAAGGCACUCUGAUUGGGGUGUGUUUGUUGGGUGUUCUGACUCUCAUCAUCAGCUGGGGGUCUCUGGGACUGGAGCUGGCAGCUGCCGCGACGGCCAGCGACUUCUGUGUUUCCCCGGAUACCUACAUCACCAGGGUAACCAAGGAGAACGCUGUCAUCAACCAAGGUAGGGGAACGAGGGAAGGACAAAGCUGGAUGGAAGGAGUUGGAGAAAUGUGGGAACAGAAGGGGGGAAGAGGAGAGGCAGGGAAAAGAAGGGACUGAAAGAUAGAUAGAACAACUACAGGAACAACUACAGGAACAAGGGCAGGGAAUGAAGUAGAGGGGGAAGUGAUAGAUGGAUGGAUGGAUCUCCGUCCUCUGGGUUCCAUCUUUUUGACAGACAGGUCAAC
Molecule: long non-coding RNA, 404 nt
Organism: Oncorhynchus nerka (sockeye salmon)
Lineage: Eukaryota; Metazoa; Chordata; Actinopteri; Salmoniformes; Salmonidae
Exons: 3
Source: RefSeq, a predicted model, not a curated record